RNAcentral lists this transfer RNA (73 nucleotides) under Desulfovibrio litoralis DSM 11393. It matches the Rfam family "tRNA". From Rfam's summary of the family: Transfer RNA (tRNA) molecules are approximately 80 nucleotides in length. Their secondary structure includes four short double-helical elements and three loops (D, anti-codon, and T loops). Lineage: Bacteria; Pseudomonadati; Thermodesulfobacteriota; Desulfovibrionia; Desulfovibrionales; Desulfovibrionaceae. The record is from Rfam by way of RNAcentral.
GCCGAGAUAGCUCAGUAGGUAGAGCAGAGGACUGAAAAUCCUCGUGUCGGAGGUUCAAUUCCCUCUCUCGGCA